Molecule: transfer RNA, 71 nt
Organism: Cavia porcellus (domestic guinea pig)
Lineage: Eukaryota; Metazoa; Chordata; Mammalia; Rodentia; Caviidae
Rfam family: tRNA
About the family: Transfer RNA (tRNA) molecules are approximately 80 nucleotides in length.
Source: Rfam
GGGGAUUUAGCUCAGUGGUGUAAGUGCCUGCCUUGCAAGCACACAGUCCUGAGUUCAAUCCCCAGUCCCCA